Molecule: ribosomal RNA, 253 nt
Filed under: uncultured bacterium
Lineage: Bacteria
Description: partial 16S ribosomal RNA
Rfam family: Bacterial small subunit ribosomal RNA
Source: RNAcentral
UACAGAGGUGGCAAGCGUUGUUCGGAAUUACUGGGCGUAAAGCGCACGUAGGCGGCUUUGUAAGUUAGAGGUGAAAGCCCGGAGCUCAACUCCGGAACUGCCUUUAAGACUGCAUCGCUUGAAUCCAGGAGAGGUGAGUGGAAUUCCGAGUGUAGAGGUGAAAUUCGUAGAUAUUCGGAAGAACACCAGUGGCGAAGGCGGCUCACUGGACUGGUAUUGACGCUGAGGUGCGAAAGCGUGGGGAGCAAACAGG